Molecule: non-coding RNA, 21 nt
Organism: Caenorhabditis elegans
Lineage: Eukaryota; Metazoa; Nematoda; Chromadorea; Rhabditida; Rhabditidae
Source: Ensembl
UUUUUAGAUUGAUAACAUUCC